Molecule: ribosomal RNA, 843 nt
Filed under: Trametes sp. 4 RG-2014
Lineage: Eukaryota; Fungi; Basidiomycota; Agaricomycetes; Polyporales; Polyporaceae
Description: eukaryotic LSU rRNA
Rfam family: Eukaryotic large subunit ribosomal RNA (bases 551-843)
Source: RNAcentral
UAACGAGUUCUGAAAGGGGUUGUAGCUGGCCUUCCGGGGCAUGUGCACACCCUGCUCAUCCACUCUACACCUGUGCACUUACUGUAGGUUUGGCGUGGGCUUCGGGGCCUCCGGGCUCUGAGGCAUUCUGCCGGCCUAUGUAUCACUACAAACACAUAAAGUAACAGAAUGUAUUCGCGUCUAACGCAUCUAAAUACAACUUUCAGCAACGGAUCUCUUGGCUCUCGCAUCGAUGAAGAACGCAGCGAAAUGCGAUAAGUAAUGUGAAUUGCAGAAUUCAGUGAAUCAUCGAAUCUUUGAACGCACCUUGCGCUCCUUGGUAUUCCGAGGAGCAUGCCUGUUUGAGUGUCAUGGAAUUCUCAACCCACACGUCCUUGUGAUGUUGCGGGCUUGGAUUUGGAGGCUUGCUGGCCCUCUGCGGUCGGCUCCUCUUGAAUGCAUUAGCUUGAUUCCGUGCGGAUCGGCUCUCAGUGUGAUAAUUGUCUACGCUGUGACCGUGAAGCGUUUGGCGAGCUUCUAACCGUCCUGUAUGGGACAACUUCUUGACAUCUGACCUCAAAUCAGGUAGGACUACCCGCUGAACUUAAGCAUAUCAAUAAGCGGAGGAAAAGAAACUAACAAGGAUUCCCCUAGUAACUGCGAGUGAAGCGGGAAAAGCUCAAAUUUAAAAUCUGGCGGUCUUUGGCCGAGUUGUAGUCUGGAGAAGUGCUUUCCGCGCUGGACCGUGUAUAAGUCUCUUGGAACAGAGCGUCAUAGAGGGUGAGAAUCCUCUUUGACACGGACUACCAGUGCUUUGUGAUGCGCUCUCAAAGAGUCGCGUUGUUUGGGGAAUGCAGCGCAAAA